GAUUUAGACAUGAAAAGGGAGAGAGAGGGGGAAUGACAUGCACCAAAGGGCUUCAGGUCAGAACCGAACCCGCGGCCAAUGCGUCGAGGACUGAGCCUCUGUAUAUGGGUGCGCGCUCUACCAGGUGAGCUACCCAGGCUCCCAAUAU
This is a long non-coding RNA of Sander lucioperca (pikeperch), 148 nucleotides long. RefSeq lists it as uncharacterized. The record is from RefSeq and is a predicted model, not a curated record. The transcript has 3 exons. NCBI's taxonomy places the organism in Eukaryota, Metazoa, Chordata, Actinopteri, Perciformes, Percidae.